AAUAAAUGAAAACCAUAAAAGGGCGGGCAGGAGAAACCCAGGGCGGGCAAUACUCGCCUCCGUGUCUUUAAUAAAACUAUGACUUUACGUCAUGAAAUAGGAAAAUCAUUAAGUUUUACAGCAAGACACGGAGGCUUCGUAUUGCAAGUU
Bufo bufo (common toad) is the source of this 150-nucleotide long non-coding RNA. RefSeq lists it as uncharacterized. The record is from RefSeq and is a predicted model, not a curated record. The transcript is spliced from 3 exons. NCBI's taxonomy places the organism in Eukaryota, Metazoa, Chordata, Amphibia, Anura, Bufonidae.